This 68-nucleotide transfer RNA is filed under the name Phyllomys mantiqueirensis (Mantiqueira Atlantic tree-rat). RNAcentral's name for it is "tRNA-Val". It matches the Rfam family "tRNA". Rfam says of the family: Transfer RNA (tRNA) molecules are approximately 80 nucleotides in length. Lineage: Eukaryota; Metazoa; Chordata; Mammalia; Rodentia; Echimyidae. The record is from RNAcentral.
CAAAGCAUAGCUUAAUUAAAGCAUUUGGCCUACACCCAAAAGAUUUCAAGAACAAUUGACUGCUUUGA